This 601-nucleotide ribosomal RNA is filed under the name uncultured cyanobacterium. Its description in RNAcentral is "bacterial SSU rRNA". It matches the Rfam family "Bacterial small subunit ribosomal RNA", at positions 53 to 694 of the family's 1533-position model. Lineage: Bacteria; Bacillati; Cyanobacteriota. The record is from RNAcentral.
ACAUGCAAGUCGAACGAAAGUCUUCGGAUUAUAGUGGGGGACGGGUGAGUAACGCGUGAGGAUCUGCCUAUAGGUUGGGGACAACAGAUGGAAACGUCUGCUAAUACCCAAUGUGCCGAGAGGUGAAAGCUUUAGUGCCUGUAGAUGAGCUCGCGUCCGAUUAGAUAGUUGGUAGGGUAAAGGCUUACCAAGGCGACGAUCGGUACCUGGUCUGAGAGGAUGAUCAGGCACACUGGGACUGAGACGCGGCCCAGACUCCUACGGGAGGCAGCAGUGGGGAAUUUUCCGCAAUGGGCGAAAGCCUGACGGAGCAAUACCGCUGUGCGGGACAGAAAGCUUUUGGGUCGUAAACCGCUUCUGUUAGGGAAGAACACAAUGACGGUACCUAACGAAUCAGCAUCGGCUAACUCCGUGCCAGCAGCCGCGGUAAUACGGGGGAUGCAAGCGUUAUCCGGAAUUAUUGGGCGUAAAGCGUCCGCAUGUGGUGUAUCAAGUCUGCUGUCAAAUCGUAGGGCUUAACCCUAUAAAGGCAGUGGAAACUGAGAGACUAGAGUACAGUAGGGGUAGCGGGAAUUCCCAGUGUAGCGGUGAAAUGCGUAGA